AUUUAUAUAGUUUAAUCAAAAACAUUACAUUUUCACUGUAAAAAUAAAAUAUUUAAUUUUUAUAAAUA
RNAcentral lists this transfer RNA (68 nucleotides) under Dyscolus oopteroides. RNAcentral describes it as "tRNA-Glu". The record is from RNAcentral. Lineage: Eukaryota; Metazoa; Arthropoda; Insecta; Coleoptera; Carabidae.